AGAGUUUGAUCAUGGCUCAGAUUGAACGCUGGCGGAAUGCUUUACACAUGCAAGUCGAAGGCAGCACGGGGGCAACCCUGGUGGCGAGUGGCGAACGGGUGAGUAAUACAUCGGAACGGCCCAGUCGUGGGGGAUAACGUAGCGAAAGUUACGCUAAUACCGCAUACGAUCUAAGGAGAAAGCGGGGGACCGUAAGGCCUCGCGCGAUUGGAGCGGCCGAUGUCAGAUUAGGUAGUGGUGGGGUAAAGGCCCACCAAGCCUGCGAUCUGUAGCUGGUCUGAGAGGACGACCAGCCCACUGGGACUGAGACACGGCCCAGACUCCUACGGGAGGCAGCAGUGGGGAAUUUUGGACAUGGGCGCAAGCCUGAUCCAGCCAUUCCGCGUGCAGGACGAAGGCCUUCGGGUUGUAAAUGCUUUUGUACGGAACGAAACGGUCCUGGUUAAUACCCGGGGCUAAUGACGGUACCGUAGAAUAAGCACCGGCUAACUACGUGCCAGCAGCCGCGGUAAU
This 513-nucleotide ribosomal RNA is filed under the name uncultured beta proteobacterium. RNAcentral's name for it is "bacterial SSU rRNA". It matches the Rfam family "Bacterial small subunit ribosomal RNA", at positions 8 to 524 of the family's 1533-position model. Lineage: Bacteria; Pseudomonadati; Pseudomonadota; Betaproteobacteria. The record is from RNAcentral.